This 253-nucleotide ribosomal RNA is filed under the name uncultured bacterium. RNAcentral's name for it is "partial 16S ribosomal RNA". It matches the Rfam family "Bacterial small subunit ribosomal RNA", at positions 524 to 776 of the family's 1533-position model. The record is from RNAcentral.
UACAGAGGGUGCAAGCGUUGCUCGGAAUCACUGGGCGUAAAGCGCACGUAGGCGGGUCGUUAAGUCAGGGGUGAAAUCCUGGAGCUCAACUCCAGAACUGCCCUUGAUACUGGCGAUCUCGAGUUCGGGAGAGGUGAGUGGAACUGCGAGUGUAGAGGUGAAAUUCGUAGAUAUUCGCAAGAACACCAGUGGCGAAGGCGGCUCACUGGCCCGAUACUGACGCUGAGGUGCGAAAGCGUGGGGAGCAAACAGG